RNAcentral lists this transfer RNA (71 nucleotides) under Ipomoea nil (Japanese morning glory). It matches the Rfam family "tRNA". From Rfam's summary of the family: Transfer RNA (tRNA) molecules are approximately 80 nucleotides in length. The record is from Rfam by way of RNAcentral. Lineage: Eukaryota; Viridiplantae; Streptophyta; Magnoliopsida; Solanales; Convolvulaceae.
GCGCAUUUAGUGUAGUGGUAUCAUAGUACCAUCCCAUGGUACUUACCGGGGUUCAAUUCCCCGAAUGCGCA